Molecule: ribosomal RNA, 501 nt
Filed under: uncultured bacterium
Lineage: Bacteria
Description: partial 16S ribosomal RNA
Rfam family: Bacterial small subunit ribosomal RNA
Source: RNAcentral
AUUGAACGCUGGCGGCAUGCCUUACACAUGCAAGUCGAACGGCAGCACGGGUGCUUGCACCUGGUGGCGAGUGGCGAACGGGUGAGUAAUACAUGUGAACGUACCUUAUCGUGGGGGAUAACGGAGCGAAAGAUGUGCUAAUACCGCAUACGCCCUGAGGAGGAAAGCGGGGGAUCUCAAGACCUGGCGCGAUUAGAGAGGCCGAUGCCUGAUUAGCUGGUUGGUGGGGUAAAAGCCCACCAAGGCGACGAUCAGUAGCUGGUCUGAGAGGACGAUCAGCCACACUGGGACUGAGACACGGCCCAGACUCCUACGGGAGGCAGCAGUGGGGAAUUUUGGACAAUGGGGGCAACCCUGAUCAAGCAAUGCCGCGUGAGUGAAGAAGGCCUUCGGGUUGUAAAGCUCUUUUGUCAGGGAAGAAACACCGGCUCUAACACAGUCCGGGAAUGACGGUACCUGAAGAAUAAGCACCGGCUAACUACGUGCCAGCAGCCGCAGUAA